This 305-nucleotide ribosomal RNA is filed under the name uncultured bacterium. RNAcentral's name for it is "bacterial SSU rRNA". It matches the Rfam family "Bacterial small subunit ribosomal RNA", at positions 335 to 638 of the family's 1533-position model. The record is from RNAcentral.
UCCCCUACGGGAGGCAGCAGUGAGGAAUAUUGGUCAAUGGUCGGGAGACUGAACCAGCCAAGCCGCGUGAGGGAUGAAGGUACAGAGUAUCGUAAACCUCUUUUGUCAGGGAACAAAGGCGGGGACGUGUCCCCGGAUGAGUGUACCUGAAGAAAAAGCAUCGGCUAACUCCGUGCCAGCAGCCGCGGUAAUACGGAGGAUGCGAGCGUUAUCCGGAUUUAUUGGGUUUAAAGGGUGCGUAGGCGGACUGGAAAGUCAGCGGUAAAAUCGAGAGGCUCAACCUCUUUCCGCCGUUGAAACUGUCG